GACGAACCGUGCGAACGUUAUUCGGAAUCACUGGGCUUAAAGCGCGUGUAGGCGGGCCGGCACGUCGGCCGCUGAAAUCCCCCGGCUCAACCGGGGAAGCGGCGCCGAUACGACCGGCCUGGAGGGGAGUAGGGGGGCCUGGAACUUCCGGUGGAGCGGUGAAAUGCGUUGAGAUCGGAAGGAACGCCCGUGGCGAAGGCGAGGCCCUGGACUCCUGCUGACGCUGAGACGCGAAAGCCAGGGGAGCGAACGGG
RNAcentral lists this ribosomal RNA (254 nucleotides) under uncultured prokaryote. Its description in RNAcentral is "partial 16S ribosomal RNA". It matches the Rfam family "Bacterial small subunit ribosomal RNA", at positions 524 to 776 of the family's 1533-position model. The record is from RNAcentral.